RNAcentral lists this ribosomal RNA (512 nucleotides) under Danaus chrysippus (African queen). Its description in RNAcentral is "partial 16S ribosomal RNA". It matches the Rfam family "Bacterial large subunit ribosomal RNA", at positions 1830 to 2603 of the family's 2925-position model. Lineage: Eukaryota; Metazoa; Arthropoda; Insecta; Lepidoptera; Nymphalidae. The record is from RNAcentral.
UUUUUGAAAAUAAUUUAAAGUCUAAUCUGCCCACUGAUAAAUAUUAAAGGGCUGCAGUAUAUUGACUGUACAAAGGUAGCAUAAUCAAUAGUCUUUUAAUUGAAGACUUGUAUGAAGGAUUUAAUGAAAUAUAAUCUGUCUCUUAUUUAUAAUUAGAAUUUAAUUUUUUAGUUAAAAAGCUAAAAUAGAUUUAAAAGACGAGAAGACCCUAUAGAGUUUUAUAAUUAAUUAAUUUUGGGUUAUAUAUAUAAUUUAAAAUUAAAAAUUAAUUAAUUAUUUUAUUGGGGUGAUAAAAAAAUUAAGUAAACUUUUUUUUAUUGAAGACAUAAAUAAGUGAAUAAAUGAUCCAUUAUUAAUGAUUAAAAGAAAAAAUUACCUUAGGGAUAACAGCGUAAUUUUUUUUUUUAGUUCAAAUAAGAAAAAGAGAUUGCGACCUCGAUGUUGGAUUAAGAUAAAAUAUAAAUGCAAAAGUUUAAAAUUUUGAUCUGUUCGAUCAUUAAAAUCUUACAUGA